GACGAACGCUGGCGGCGUGCCUAAUACAUGCAAGUAGGACGCAGUUGCGAACGGGUGAGUAACGCGUAGGUAACUGCCUAUUAGAGGGGGAUAACUAUUGGAAACGAUAGCUAAUACCGCAUACUAGUAGAUGGACCUGCGUUGUAUUAGCUAGUAGGUAGGGUAAUGGCCUACCUAGGCGACGAUCCGUAACUGGACUGAGAGGAUGAUCAGCCACACUGGAACUGAGACACGGACCAGACUACUACGGGAGGCAGCAGUGGGGAAUAUUGGACAAUGGGCGAAAGCAUGAUCCAGCCAUGCCGAGUGAGUGAAGAAGGUUUGCGGAUCGGAAAGCUCUGUUGUUAGAGAAGCGGUAUCUAACCAGAAAGCAACGGCUAACUACGUGCCAGCAGCCGCGGUAAUU
This 406-nucleotide ribosomal RNA is filed under the name uncultured bacterium. Its description in RNAcentral is "partial 16S ribosomal RNA". It matches the Rfam family "Bacterial small subunit ribosomal RNA", at positions 28 to 525 of the family's 1533-position model. The record is from RNAcentral.